UACGUAGGGUGCAAGCGUUGUCCGGAAUUAUUGGGCGUAAAGAGCUCGUAGGCGGUUUGUCGCGUCUGCUGUGAAAACGCGAGGCUCAACCUCGCGCCUGCAGUGGGUACGGGCAGACUAGAGUGUGGUAGGGGAGAUUGGAAUUCCUGGUGUAGCGGUGGAAUGCGCAGAUAUCAGGAGGAACACCAAUGGCGAAGGCAGAUCUCUGGGCCGUAACUGACGCUGAGGAGCGAAAGCAUGGGGAGCGAACAGG
Molecule: ribosomal RNA, 253 nt
Filed under: uncultured bacterium
Lineage: Bacteria
Description: partial 16S ribosomal RNA
Rfam family: Bacterial small subunit ribosomal RNA
Source: RNAcentral